Molecule: long non-coding RNA, 476 nt
Organism: Dalotia coriaria
Lineage: Eukaryota; Metazoa; Arthropoda; Insecta; Coleoptera; Staphylinidae
Exons: 2
Source: RefSeq, a predicted model, not a curated record
GUGUACACUUGCUUCAGCUCCUGAAUGCAUCCCAGCUUGGUAAUACAAGAAACAUCACAAGAAACAUAGAGGAACGAACAUUACAUGCUUUCCGUAGUUUUUUAUUUGCGCCGCACUGUUGUGCAUAUUCUCGGGAAAAAUCGGGGGAAUUUUCAUGUCGGCUCAACAUGAAACCAGCGCGGAAACUCGGUAAAAGCGUUGGUGAUAUGGCGCCGCCGUGUAAGCAAAAAGGAUUUCCGCAACGCUUCCAGCACAUUCAUACCAAAUGUAGUAUUUUUCUUUCACUGCUACAAAGACUGCUGAAAAUUUUUGCCCACACAUUGUAUACCUCACAUGUGAAUAAAACCCAAUACACCUUUCUGAAUUUGGCCAAAAAUCUCGGUUAAAAUAAUAUUAUUUAUGGCUUGACACUCGUUUCCCAAGUAAACCUUCAUUCAUAUAAAAAUACAAAUAAUAAAUAAAAAGAUGAUAUAAUU